This is a non-coding RNA of Thamnophis sirtalis, 348 nucleotides long. NCBI's taxonomy places the organism in Eukaryota, Metazoa, Chordata, Lepidosauria, Squamata, Natricidae. The record is from RefSeq and is a predicted model, not a curated record.
AGAUGCUGGACGAUAUACCUGCGUGGCCAUUAAUGAAGCUGGAGAAGAUUCUAUCCAAUAUGAUGUCCGCGUGCUACUGCCACCAUACUUUAAUGGUUCCAGCGGUGAUGUGACUGUGGAGCUGAUUGUACUUCUGGACAAGAUGGCAAUAAUGGAAUGUAUAGCAGAGGGCAGUCCUCCUCCGAGCAUAAUGUGGGAGAAAGAUGGACAGCUAAUAGUUGAAGAUUCCCAUCACAGAUUCCUACUGGAUGGAAAAACCCUUCAGAUUCACAAUACUCAAAUAGCAAAUAUAGGCAGGUAUGUCUGCCUUGUGGAGAACAUAGCAGGACGUGCAAAAAGAUAUUUUAA